GUGCUCGCUUCAGCAGCACAUAUACUAAAAUUAGAACCCAUGGAGAAGAUUAGAAUGGUCCUUGUGCAAGGAUGAUAUGCAAAUUUAUAAAGCGUUCCAUAUACUA
Molecule: small nuclear RNA, 106 nt
Organism: Catagonus wagneri (Chacoan peccary)
Lineage: Eukaryota; Metazoa; Chordata; Mammalia; Artiodactyla; Tayassuidae
Source: Ensembl